This 322-nucleotide long non-coding RNA is filed under the name Panax ginseng (ginseng). Its description in RNAcentral is "long non-coding RNA (PGIN_LNC001822)". Lineage: Eukaryota; Viridiplantae; Streptophyta; Magnoliopsida; Apiales; Araliaceae. The record is from RNAcentral.
UAUACUGUAGACUUAUGUUAAAGUAAUGCAUGCAUGCGUAUAGCUAUGGACUGCAUUUAAUGAGCUCCAAGUUAGAAUUUACCACACCUUUUCUGAGGUGAUUUGGAGACUUUGGUCCAGAUAUAUGGAUCCAGAUCAGCCGAGUAGCUCCCGUAAGACCUCUUCAGGUGUGAGGAAGAGAGCUUCAGAUGUGCCUCAGCCUCACCCAACCCGACAGCCUCGUCGGAUGACAGAGUCAGUGAUUCGUUCUAUCCGGGUGGAGAGAUCAGAUGUUGAGGACGAGGAGGAGGACGUACCCAUUGCGGAUCUUGCUCCUUCUUCU